Molecule: ribosomal RNA, 468 nt
Filed under: uncultured bacterium
Lineage: Bacteria
Description: partial 16S ribosomal RNA
Rfam family: Bacterial small subunit ribosomal RNA
Source: RNAcentral
GACGAACGCUGGCGGCGUGCUUAACACAUGCAAGUCGAACGGAAAGGCCCUGCUUUUGUGGGGUACUCGAGUGGCGAACGGGUGAGUAACAAGUGAGUAACCUGCCCUUGACUUUGGGAUAACUUCAGGAAACUGGGGCUAAUACCGGAUAGAAGCUCCUGCUGCAUGGUGGGGGUUGGAAAGUUUCGGCGGUUGGGGAUGGACUCGCGGCUUAUCAGCUUGUUGGUGGGGUAGUGGCUUACCAAGGCUUUGAAGGGUAGCCGGCCUGAGAGGGUGACCGGCCACAUUGGGCCUGAGAUACGGCCCAGACUCCUACGGGAGGCAGCAGUGGGGAAUAUUGCACAAUGGGCGGAAGCCUGAUGCAGCAACGCCGCGUGCGGGAUGACUGCCUUCGGGUUGUAAACCGCUUUCGCCUGUGACGAAGAGUGAGUGACGGUAAUGGGUAAAGAAGCACCGGCUAACUACGUG